Capra hircus (goat) is the source of this 620-nucleotide RNA transcript. It is a transcript of the gene named mitochondrial import inner membrane translocase subunit Tim10 pseudogene, with no coding region annotated. The record is from RefSeq and is a predicted model, not a curated record. The transcript is spliced from 2 exons. Lineage: Eukaryota; Metazoa; Chordata; Mammalia; Artiodactyla; Bovidae.
UCAGGGUGCCGGGACCGCUCUGCAGGCCUGCCGUCGCCGGCUCUGCGACCUUGGGCGGGGCCUCGGUUCCCACGUCUGACGCUGAGUGCUUGAGCUUGCCGAGGAACUAGGAGGCCCGCUGGAGAUCUCUUCCAGGGCGCAGGGCUGAGAUGGACCCCCUCAGGGCCCAGCAGCUGGCUGCAGAGCUGGAGGUAGAGAUGACGGCCGACAUGUACAACAGAAUGACCAGCGCCCGCCACCGGAAGUGCGUGCCUCCCCACCACAAGGAAGCAGAGCUGUCCAAGGGCGAGUCCGUGUGCCUGCACCGCUGUGUCUCCAAGUACCUGGACAUCCACGAGCGGAUGGGCAAGAAGCUGACAGAGCUGUCUGUGCAGGUUGAGGAGCUGAUGAAGAGGGCGCAGCAGAGUUCUGGGCCUGUGUGAGGCGCGGCGGCACACCCUGAGGUGCACCCCACCCUCUACCCGUCUACUGAAAGUGCCCCACGUUGGGCAUCUGUGGAGACUGCCCGGCCUGGACUCCUUCUGGAGAGUCUCUAGGAGCUGGAGUAUGAUGGAGCCCUUUCCCAGGCGGGCCCUGUGACUGUGUGUGUAUAUAUAUAUUAUAUAUUAAAACAAAUUUGU